CGAAAAAAUUAAUUGUUUAAUUUAAAAUAUUUUAGUAAUUUACUUUUCAUUGAAACUUUGGCUAUUUUUACUAGAAAAAGCUGUUAAAUUUUUUCUGAUACUUUAUACCAUAAGGAUUUACAUUCCUGUUUAGUUUUGAGUAGAAAAAGCUCUGGUGGUCAGACUAAAAUUUUUGGAUUAGGUUUUAUUCUUAGUGUGACCACACCAUACAUGGC
RNAcentral lists this long non-coding RNA (215 nucleotides) under Mytilus galloprovincialis (Mediterranean mussel). Lineage: Eukaryota; Metazoa; Mollusca; Bivalvia; Mytilida; Mytilidae. The record is from RNAcentral.